Molecule: ribosomal RNA, 510 nt
Filed under: uncultured bacterium
Lineage: Bacteria
Description: partial 16S ribosomal RNA
Rfam family: Bacterial small subunit ribosomal RNA
Source: RNAcentral
GACGAACGCUGGCGGCGUGCUUAACACAUGCAAGUCGAACGAAGAGCGAUGGAAGCUUGCUUCUAUCAAUCUUAGUGGCGAACGGGUGAGUAACGCGUAAUCAACCUGCCCUUCAGAGGGGGACAACAGUUGGAAACGACUGCUAAUACCGCAUACGAUCUAACCUCGGCAUCGAGGAUAGAUGAAAGGUGGCCUCUACAUGUAAGCUAUCACUGAAGGAGGGGAUUGCGUCUGAUUAGCUAGUUGGAGGGGUAACGGCCCACCAAGGCGAUGAUCAGUAGCCGGUCUGAGAGGAUGAACGGCCACAUUGGGACUGAGACACGGCCCAGACUCCUACGGGAGGCAGCAGUGGGGAAUCUUCCGCAAUGGACGAAAGUCUGACGGAGCAACGCCGCGUGAGUGAUGACGGCCUUCGGGUUGUAAAGCUCGGUUAAUCGGGACGAAAGGCCUUCUUGCGAAUAGUGAGAAGGAUUGACGGUACCGGAAUAGAAAGCCACGGCUAACUACGUG